AUUUGUCUUCCCAGAGUUUGUUUUCUCAGCAAUAAUUCCACUUGCUGUCUGUAGAGGGAACCUUGUCUUCAAGCCAAUGCUGCUGCCUGGAGUGACGGCCUCAUCGAAACGUGGCAGCUGGCGGUUCCACAGCGGCUCUCAUCAGGCUACCUGUCAGCCCCCCCACAUCAUCUCCCAAGCGGCUAAAUCCAAACACGUAGGAGGCCCGGUGGGGAGCCAAUAUGUCCAAAGGGCCCAGCGGCUCCGUGCCGUCGUCCUGAAUCCAAAGCUGAAGCGGACAUUCCACAGGCAUAUCAAACCGGAGGUCACAGCUGCACCGCUCCC
Long non-coding RNA from Gasterosteus aculeatus aculeatus (three-spined stickleback), 324 nucleotides. NCBI's taxonomy places the organism in Eukaryota, Metazoa, Chordata, Actinopteri, Perciformes, Gasterosteidae. The record is from Ensembl.